This 253-nucleotide ribosomal RNA is filed under the name uncultured bacterium. Its description in RNAcentral is "partial 16S ribosomal RNA". It matches the Rfam family "Bacterial small subunit ribosomal RNA", at positions 524 to 776 of the family's 1533-position model. The record is from RNAcentral.
UACGUAGGCAGCAAGCGUUGUUCGGAGUUACUGGGCGUAAAGAGUGCGUAGGCGGUCCUGUAAGUUUGGUGUGAAAUCUCCCGGCUCAACUGGGAGGGUGCGCCGAAGACUGCAGGGCUUGAGUAUGGGAGAGGUAAGCGGAAUUCCUGGUGUAGCGGUGAAAUGCGCAGAUAUCAGGAGGAACACCGGUGGCGAAGGCGGGUCUCUGGGCCGAUACUGACGCUGAGGAGCGAAAGCGUGGGGAGCGAACAGG